GAUGAACGCUAGCGGGAGGCCUAACACAUGCAAGCCGAGCGGUAUUUGUUCUUCGGAACAGAGAGAGCGGCGCACGGGUGCGGAACACGUGUGCAACCUGCCUUUAUCUGGGGGAUAGCCUUUCGAAAGGAAGAUUAAUACCCCAUAAUAUAUUGAGUGGCAUCACUUGAUAUUGAAAACUCCGGUGGAUAGAGAUGGGCACGCGCAAGAUUAGAUAGUUGGUGAGGUAACGGCUCACCAAGUCAAUGAUCUUUAGGGGGCCUGAGAGGGUGAUCCCCCACACUGGUACUGAGGCACGGACCAGACUCCUACGGGAGGCAGCAGUGAGGAAUAUUGGACAAUGGGUUAGCGCCUGAUCCAGCCAUCCCGCGUGAAGGACGACGGCCCUAUGGGUUGUAAACUUCUUUUGUAUAGGGAUAAACCUACUCUCGUGAGAGUAGCUGAAGGUACUAUACGAAUAAGCACCGGCUAACUCCGUG
Molecule: ribosomal RNA, 479 nt
Filed under: uncultured bacterium
Lineage: Bacteria
Description: partial 16S ribosomal RNA
Rfam family: Bacterial small subunit ribosomal RNA
Source: RNAcentral